GACGCCGACGUGGGGCAUGAUGGGAGAAUACUAUGGUUUACGCUGGCGCGGAACUUAAUUUAUAGACACCAAAGGGCUAAAACACUCCGUUUUGAGGUUGGAAGAUGGUUCGGUGGUCAAGAGCACGGCUGCUCUUCUGGAGGACGCAGGUUUGAUUUCUAGCACUCACAACUGCUCACAACCGGUUGUAACUUCAGUUCCAUGGGAUCCUAACCCUCUUUUGAUCUUUGUGGGCUUUGCAUGCCUGUGGUGAAAAAAAAAAAAAAAAAAAAAAAAAAACAACGUGUGUUUUGUGUGUGUGUGUGCAGGGAAAUAAAUGAUAUAUAUAUAAUCUGGCAACCAUGGUCUUAAUUCCUGGAAACUCAGGAGGGAGAAGCAGGCAGUUCUCAGUGAGUUCCAAGUCAGCCACGGCUACAUAAGAGACUCUGUCUCAACAUAAAUAAAUAAAUAAAUAAAUAAAUAAAUAAAUAGCAAUUGAUACUUGGUAAUAUGUAUUGUUUGGUUAUGUACCCCGGGACAAGGGACUGAGGUGCAAAUUUUAUAUUUCAAAGCAGACCUGGCCUCUAGGUUCUCUCAGCAUCCCUCAGUCCCUACCUGGCAUACCCUUGCUGCAACCCUGAACUUUCCAGCCCAGAGGCUGGGCUGCCCUUCCCCCAGAGGCUCUUCCCUAUAUAAACCAGUGUUUUGGUCUUCCUCAUCUCUCCUCCUGCCUUCUCUAUGUUCACACCCUUUCUCUUUUUCUCCCCCUGCUCCCCACUAUGGUGACUUCCUUGGCCUCAGUC
RNAcentral lists this long non-coding RNA (782 nucleotides) under Mus caroli (Ryukyu mouse). RNAcentral describes it as "predicted gene 15579 (MGP_CAROLIEiJ_G0004096.1)". Lineage: Eukaryota; Metazoa; Chordata; Mammalia; Rodentia; Muridae. The record is from RNAcentral.